CUAAAAGCUCCGUAGCCGGUUCGGUACGUUUUCGGGUAAAUCCAUUUGCUUAACUGGUUGGUUGCCGGAAAUACUGCCAAACUUGGGACCGGGAGAGGUGGACGGUACUCCUCGGGAAGGGGUAAAAUCCUGUGAUCCUGAGAGACCACCCUGUGGCGAAGGCGGUCCACCAGAACACGUCCGACGGUGAGGGACGAAGCCUGGGGGAGCGAACCGGAUUAGAUACCCGGGUAGUCCUAGCUGUAAACGAUGUGGCCUUGAUGUGCGUUGUCCUCCGAGCACUGCCAGGCCCCAAGCGAACGUGAUAAGUCCACUGCCUGGGGAGUCGGGCGCAAGGGUGAAACUUUAAGGAAUUG
This 356-nucleotide ribosomal RNA is filed under the name uncultured archaeon. RNAcentral's name for it is "bacterial SSU rRNA". It matches the Rfam family "Archaeal small subunit ribosomal RNA", at positions 510 to 867 of the family's 1478-position model. The record is from RNAcentral.